CCAGCUUCAUUCCAGCACCUUUAAAGCCACAACACACACACACAGACACUCCACACUGAAGUCACUGACAAGGUGCGAAGACACAAGAGAGUGUUCAUAGACUACUGUGCGGUUGGAUGUUAUCACAAAUCAGCGGUGAACAGCCAUUUUGUUUGGAAAAGCCACAAGAAGACAUAACUAAAGUAAUGGAGUCAUCUGGGUGUCGACCUGUCCCAGCUGCCGAAGUUGGCAGAGGUAGAGGGAGAAUCAGAGGGAGAGGAAGAAUCACAGGGAGAGGAAGAUGGAGAGGGAGAGGAAGAUGGAGAGGGAUAAUCCGAGGAAGACUUGAGUCACCACACCAACAUGCUGAGAGUGGUUUUAGAAGACACAGAAGUCGUUCCAAAGACAACUCUGAUGGGUCCAGAUAUUAUUUCAGUUUCACAAAACAGUGGACUGGAAGAAACCAAGCUUACAGACCUUCCCCGACUUCCCCGAGCUACAACCCGAUGUCCCCCAGCCUGACGUCGCCAUACUACCACCCCACCUCUCCCCCCUACAACCCGACGUCCCCCAGCUACACACCCAGCUCGCCCUCCUACUCGCCGGUCUCUCCAUCCUACUACCCCACCUCUCCAAGCUACACCCCGACGUCCCCCAGCUUCUCCCCCACCUCGCCCUCCUACUUGCCGACCUCUCCAUCCUACUCCCCUUCUAGCCCAGGGUACCCCCCACAGUCUCCCACUUACACCCCAAGCUCACCCUCCCACACCCCCAGCUAACCCUCCUACUCCCCGACUUCCCCCAAAUACACCUCCACCUCCUACAGUCCAAGUUCCCCAGAGUACACCCUAACGUCCCCCAAGUACUCCCCGACUUCUCCCAAAUACUCCCCAACCUCGCCCAAAUACAGCCCCACC
Alosa alosa (allis shad) is the source of this 896-nucleotide long non-coding RNA. RefSeq lists it as uncharacterized. Lineage: Eukaryota; Metazoa; Chordata; Actinopteri; Clupeiformes; Clupeidae. The record is from RefSeq and is a predicted model, not a curated record. The transcript is spliced from 3 exons.